AACGCGAAGAACCUUACCAAGGCUUGACAUAUAGCGAAAAGUGGCAGAGAUGUCAUGUCCGCAAGGGCGCUAUACAGGUGGUGCAUGGUUGUCGUCAGCUCGUGUCGUGAGAUGUUGGGUUAAGUCCCGCAACGAGCGCAACCCACGUUGUUAGUUGCCAGCAUUUAGUUGGGCACUCUAGCAAGACUGCCGGUGUUAAACCGGAGGAAGGUGUGGAUGACGUCAAGUCCUCAUGGCCCUUAUGACCAGGGCUACACACGUGUUACAAUGGCCGGUACAAUGGGUUGCCACUUAGUGAUAAGAAGCUAAUCCCUCAGAACCGGUCUCAGUUCGGAUUGUAGUCUGCAACUCGACUACAUGAAGUCGGAAUCGCUAGUAAACGCAGAUCAGCUACGCUGCGUUGAAUGUGUUCCCGGGUCUUGUACACACCG
RNAcentral lists this ribosomal RNA (431 nucleotides) under uncultured bacterium. Its description in RNAcentral is "bacterial SSU rRNA". It matches the Rfam family "Bacterial small subunit ribosomal RNA", at positions 958 to 1392 of the family's 1533-position model. The record is from RNAcentral.